UACCUGGUGGUCCAGUGGUUAAGAAUCUGCCUUGCAAUGCAGAGGACACAGGUUCGAUUCCUGAUCAGGGAA
This 72-nucleotide transfer RNA is filed under the name Bos taurus (domestic cattle). It matches the Rfam family "tRNA". From Rfam's summary of the family: Transfer RNA (tRNA) molecules are approximately 80 nucleotides in length. Their secondary structure includes four short double-helical elements and three loops (D, anti-codon, and T loops). Lineage: Eukaryota; Metazoa; Chordata; Mammalia; Artiodactyla; Bovidae. The record is from Rfam by way of RNAcentral. RNAcentral also lists the same sequence under 5 other names.